UGGGAGCUGAGCUGGUCAACCUUUUCACUCUCCCUUAUCUUUGCCAGCACCAUCAUGUUGAGCGCUCCAGAAUUGCUAUGGAUAGGCUACCCAAUACCACCAUCUGCAAAAGACAAAGUCAGUUCUGUUCUCAGUCCUACAGAGUAGGCUCAUCUGGAUGCAUGCCAGUAAGGACAACCCCACUGUGCUGCCCCAUCUAAGUGGAGGCUUGCCUCUCCCAAGUGUUGUUGCUGUAAAAAGUUCUGAGUUAGAUUUCCCACUCUCAUCCCCAACAGAGCUGGCUCAUCUGUGCCUUCACCAUGAGGCCCAGCUUCACUAUGCUAUCUGAUCCCCUGAGUACUAUAUCCAGUGAGGGGCAGAGGUUGCUCCCCAGCUCUCAUGACCUCUGGCCCAGUUCUCCUGACCAUUACAAGUGGGAAGGGGUGAGGUAGGAAAGGGUAUCACAUUUGACUACCUCAUGGAAAAGGAGUGAUGAGGCAAGCACUUCUAUGAUCUGGCCCUCAAAGCAUCGGGUUCAGAGUUGCUGUGCUAUCCAGGAUUUCACUUUCUUUCAAUGUAAAAUAAAAAUUGGUUAUAAGAUGUGCGGACUAAUUUUCACCACCAACUUCAUUGGAUCUAGAAUCAACAGGUUCUACAGCCUUUGAAAGAAGACUGAAAACCAAACUCCUCAGGAAUUCUCUAAGCCUUCAGCGUUGCAUUGGGGCUA
RNAcentral lists this long non-coding RNA (706 nucleotides) under Rattus norvegicus (Norway rat). RNAcentral describes it as "long non-coding RNA NONRATT023339". The record is from RNAcentral. Lineage: Eukaryota; Metazoa; Chordata; Mammalia; Rodentia; Muridae.